RNAcentral lists this long non-coding RNA (701 nucleotides) under Manihot esculenta (cassava). Its description in RNAcentral is "long non-coding RNA (MESC_LNC003174)". Lineage: Eukaryota; Viridiplantae; Streptophyta; Magnoliopsida; Malpighiales; Euphorbiaceae. The record is from RNAcentral.
UUCAGAAAGAAUCAGAUGUCGGAGUGAUUUGAUCCUGUAAAUUGCAAGAACUAAAAAUUUUUAUCUUCUUAGUAAUGGACCUGCAACAACCAAACAUUUUUAAAAAUUAGAUAUUUUUUAAAAUUAAAGGAUAAUUAUAAAAAUCUUUUUAUGAAUACAAUACACUCUUUACCUAAUUAAUUAUAAUUAAUGAAUUUUUAUGAUUUUAUUCUCAUAAAGUCUAUUAAUUAAACUGUAUAAUUUUAAUUAAAAUAAUGUAGUUUAAAUAAAAUCCUCUAAUUAUAAAAAGAUAUUUUUGUAACCAUUAAUUAAAUUAUCUAAUCAUAAAAAAUAUAUUUUACAUCAAAACUACGUAGAUUCGGUGUAUUAUUUGUAAUAACCUAGCAUCUAAAAUUUACCCAAUUCACAUUUCUCCCUAGCAAAUCACGCAGUAGCCAUCAUCGCAUCUUCAGCCAGAGGACCUGUCGCCCCCCUGAGCAGCAGCACGUCGCGCCAGCACCACCACCGCAUCACGCUCCUGUGAGCCGCCGCAUCACUGCUUCUCGUGCUCGUGAGCCACCGCACGCCGCACCUCUGCAUCGACCGGUCGUUUGCAGCCCACCUCUGCAUCGCGCUUCUCUGGAUCGCGUCACAAGCAGAUCUCCAGUUCAAACGUGAUAUGUAAGACUCAAUUGCUUCUCAAAAAAUAAUUUACAUAUUAG